Acanthosepion pharaonis is the source of this 98-nucleotide non-coding RNA. The record is from the annotation of a GenBank genome assembly. Lineage: Eukaryota; Metazoa; Mollusca; Cephalopoda; Sepiida; Sepiidae.
AUUGAAACACUGGUUCCAUACAAUCACCAAAGUUAAGCAACGUUGAUCCUGGUCAGUACCUAGAUGGGUGACUACUUGGGAAUACCAGUUGCUGUAAG